Molecule: long non-coding RNA, 2140 nt
Filed under: Hordeum vulgare
Lineage: Eukaryota; Viridiplantae; Streptophyta; Magnoliopsida; Poales; Poaceae
Description: long non-coding RNA (HVUL_LNC015275)
Source: RNAcentral
CGGCGCCUUCGCCGGCGCGCCCACCGCCGGAGCGCUCCUCCUCUCCCUCGUCGCCUACUACCUGCACUGAGACGGGCCGGAGCGCGCACGUUCCCGCGCGGCGCCACACACACGCGUCGCUUAAUUUAUUAAUCAAUUCACUGAUCAAUUGAUGACUACCUCAUGAUUUAUUACCGUGUAUUAUCGGUACCGUGUAACUGCGCUUGUAAUUCUUCUUUUCGACUCGUUUGGUAAAUUCAACCCAAUUCACAUCUGUAACCCGUCGCAGUGGCGAUGUAUUAUCAUUUCAUUUGAACCAACCGAUUGUUUCUUGUUGUGGGCUUGUGGCCCUGGGGGUUCUUUACUGCCUUCAUAUAUUCUUUUACAAUAUGUUAUUGAACGAACGUCAGAUUUCUAGCAAGUUUCAGUGAACAUCAUGCCUAUCGUCGAGUCACAUGCACGGAUCUUGACCCAAAAGGCCAUGCCACGUCAGCUUUGAAACUUUUCGUUAGAAACAAAAGCGUCCCCAGCGCCAUCUUAUCCAAAUCGCGAACGCCGUCUUAUCUAUCUACUACCACUAAAAAAGCAAGAGAAGGUAGAUCCAACUCUGAAUCUUGACCCUCUAAACGUUCAAUCAAAGGCAUGGAUACUUCGUUAACGAAACUAAUCAGUUUUCGUUAGCGUUGAUCCCCCGCUUCUUCACGUCCCAUGCGUCCUCGGUCAACUGGUCCCGCUCCAAACACAACCAACCCCUCCUCGAUCCAAUUGAUCAUCUUCACCGACCUGAUCCCAUCGACGGCUACCUCCGCCCCACAUGCCACGCCGGCGACCUCCGCCCCCAUGCCACGUCGGUGCCACACCGGUGCCACCCCAGCGACCUCCGCCCCCAUGCCACGUCGCUGCCUUUCUAAUUCCUCUUCUUAUUUCCUUUUAUUUACUAUACUAGGUGGCAACAAUAUUCCUUUUCUUGUUUUAGGUACAUAGCAAACUUUUAAAAUAAUUGUACCUGGCAGAUUUGUAGAUUUGUAUUUUUUUUUUACUUGUCACAUGGCAAAGUUAAACAUAUAUUUGUGAUGUUUCACAUGCCAAGUUUGUUUUGUACACACAGCAAAAUUUAGAUAUUUUUUCUCAUGAUCCCAUGACAAGUUCAUAAAAAAAAACUUUCGAACAUGGUAAUUUUAGGUCUUUAUUUUUGUAAUGCUAGCAUGUCAAGUUUUGGGGAUUUUUAUCAACUAUUGAUGUCAAUUUUGGAAAUACUUAUUUUUCUACUUUCUCACAUUGGCAAUUUUAUUAUUAAGAGCAUGACAAUUUUACCUUAAUACCAUGAGGAUUUUAUUUUUAAGGGCAUGUCAUUUUUAUUCAUUUAUUCAACCUGGCAAUUUCUUGUGUAUGAUUUCUAUGUUUUGAUAAUGAAAAUUAAGGCACGGAAAAUUCCUUGUAAAUUUUUUAAUUAAUACACAAGCUCGUCAUAUAUGAUUUCCCUUUGUCUGCAUUUUGGACCAUGUUUUUAUUUUUGGAAUUAAUGUGGCCUUUUUGGCAUGUUUUUUAGGGCUUUUGCCAUGUAUAAGUUUUGUCAAUCCUCGAAGAGGGAAGCUAAAUGGGCCUGGUUGGGUUGGUUCGCCCUUUUGAGUGAUUCUUCUAGCCACUUUUUCGUUCGCUCGAUGGAACCAUUCUCGAAAACGAAUUGUUCAUGCAUUAUUCCUUUCCUUAAUGUACGUCAUCUAACGGGAUCCUUCUUUUAACAUUGGCUUGCGGCAAUCGUGUGUCGUGACGGUUGUCAACGGCUUGUUUGAAUCAACAAAGAAUCUUUCAUAAGUUGUUUUGAAUUAUAUAUUUGGUUAGAUAAAAAAAAUGAGUUGGUACUUAGUGAGAUACUUGAGUAGUGUACAAUGCAUACCACCGAGAGAAAUUAUGAGGAAAAUAAUUAGAUAAAAAUGAUCGUGGGAGAAGGUGCAUUGAGCAUCAUGAUUCAUGCCCACACAGACCAGUCGCAUUCACGACCGGUCAAAAGCUUUCUGCUGCGAUUAGUUAGCUAUAGAUAGAUAGAGACAGAGACAGAAAUCCAAGGACCUAAUCUUAGCUAGUGUACUAUGCUGCAAUGCGAUGGAUGUUUUUUUUUUUUCAAUGUAAUCGCAAAGGAAGUUUCCAUAGAAAAAAAAAA